AUAUCCUUUAAGUAUUUUCCCAUAAUGUAAUAAAAAUGUAUCUUUUCUUAUCAGCUUAAUACCUGGUAUGUCCUGCAUCACAGGACUAGAAUAUUAAACUCAUUUUUCACUCAUGACGGAAUACUAAGAGCAUGGUCUAUCUCUGCCACGCCAGCCGGGAUGACCGACCGGUUCUAGGCGCUACAG
Small nuclear RNA from Schistocerca nitens (vagrant locust), 186 nucleotides. RefSeq annotates it as U2 spliceosomal RNA. Lineage: Eukaryota; Metazoa; Arthropoda; Insecta; Orthoptera; Acrididae. The record is from RefSeq and is a predicted model, not a curated record. The transcript has a single exon.